This 493-nucleotide ribosomal RNA is filed under the name uncultured bacterium. RNAcentral describes it as "partial 16S ribosomal RNA". It matches the Rfam family "Bacterial small subunit ribosomal RNA", at positions 28 to 507 of the family's 1533-position model. The record is from RNAcentral.
GACGAACGCUGGCGGCGUGCUUAACACAUGCAAGUCGAACGGUGAAGGGACCGGUUUUUGCUGGUUCUGGAUGAGUGGCGAACGGGUGAGUAACACGUGAGUAACCUGCCCCCUUCUUCUGGAUAACCGCAUGAAAGUGUGGCUAAUACGGGAUAUUCUGCGCCUGCUGCAUGGUGGGUGUGGGAAAGAUAUUGUUUCGGUGGGGGAUGGGCUCGCGGCCUAUCAGCUUGUUGGUGGGGUGAUGGCCUACCAAGGCGGUGACGGGUAGCCGGCCUGAGAGGGUGGACGGUCACACUGGGACUGAGACACAGCACAGACUCCUACGGGAGGCAGCAGUGGGGAAUAUUGCACAAUGGGCGCAAGCCUGAUGCAGCGACGCCGCGUGAGGGAUGGAGGCCUUCGGGUUGUAAACCUCUUUCGCCAGUGAAGCAGGCCUGUCCCUUUUGUGGGUGGGUUGACGGUAGCUGGAGAAGAAGCGCCGGCUAACUACGUG